RNAcentral lists this long non-coding RNA (343 nucleotides) under Elaeis guineensis (African oil palm). Its description in RNAcentral is "long non-coding RNA (EGUI_LNC026527)". Lineage: Eukaryota; Viridiplantae; Streptophyta; Magnoliopsida; Arecales; Arecaceae. The record is from RNAcentral.
AGAGUUUGCAGAAUACAUAAUUUCAGAUGAAUUGGACCAUAGAAUUUAAGUGAUGGAAUCGUCUUAUAUGACUUAUAUGAUCUCUAGGACAUCACUCUAGAGUUCAUUCGACUGUAUCAUGUGGUUAACCCGGGUGUUCGAGCAUGACAAUAUACUUUUUUGAACAGCCAAUAAAUCCCAAAAAUUUGGAUGAGCACACCGGUUAUCUUUGAAAUGGAACUUCUUCAUGAAUCAAAUUAUUUACUCAUAGUAGUGUAUGCUUCUAGAGUGUUACAUAUAGAUCUAUGACCUAAAAGCUUUAAAGCGCAGAGAGAGAGAGAGAGAGAGAGAGAGAGAGAGAGAG